GAAAUGCGAUAAGUAAUGUGAAUUGCAGAAUUCAGUGAAUCAUCGAAUCUUUGAACGCACAUUGCGCCCCCUGGCAUUCCGGGGGGCAUGCCUGUUCGAGCGUCAUUACACCACUCAAGCCUCGCUUGGUAUUGAGCGCCGCGAGCGACCCUGCCCGCGCGCUCUAAUGUCUCCCGGCUGAGCCGUCCGCCUCUAAGCGUUGUGGUCUACCAGUGCCGCUUGCGAGGUUCGGACGCGCUCGACGCCGUCGACCCCAUCUUCUUUUAAAGGUUGACCUCGGAUCAGGUAGGGAUACCCGCUGAACUUAAGC
This 310-nucleotide unclassified non-coding RNA is filed under the name plant metagenome. Its description in RNAcentral is "partial contains 5.8S ribosomal RNA, internal transcribed spacer 2, and large subunit ribosomal RNA". The stretch from base 1 to 105 matches the Rfam family "5.8S ribosomal RNA", at positions 50 to 154 of the family's 154-position model. The record is from RNAcentral.